UGAACGCUAGCGACAGGCCUAACACAUGCAAGUCGAGGGGCAGCACAAGGAGCAAUCUGAGGUGGCGACCAGCGCACGGGUGAGUAACACGUAUGCAACCUGCCUGUAAGCGGGGAAUAACCCGUUGAAAGACGGACUAAUACCGCAUAAUACUAAAUUACUGCAUGGUAAUCUAUUUAAACAUUUAUGGCUUACAGAUGGGCAUGCGCAUGAUUAGCUAGUUGGAGAGGUAACGGCUCCCCAAGGCAACGAUCAUUAGGGGUUCUGAGAGGAAGGUCCCCACACUGGUACUGAGACACGGACCAGACUCCUACGGGAGGCAGCAGUGAGGAAUAUUGGUCAAUGGACGAGAGUCUGAACCAGCCAAGUCGCGUGCAGGAAGAAUGUCCUAUGGAUUGUAAACUGCUUUUGCAGGGGAAUAAAGUGCAUCACGUGUGAUGUUUUGUAUGUAUUCUGCGAAUAAGGAUCGGCUAACUCCGUGCCAGCAGCAGC
This 492-nucleotide ribosomal RNA is filed under the name uncultured bacterium. RNAcentral describes it as "bacterial SSU rRNA". It matches the Rfam family "Bacterial small subunit ribosomal RNA", at positions 30 to 518 of the family's 1533-position model. The record is from RNAcentral.